Molecule: ribosomal RNA, 512 nt
Filed under: uncultured bacterium
Lineage: Bacteria
Description: partial 16S ribosomal RNA
Rfam family: Bacterial small subunit ribosomal RNA
Source: RNAcentral
GAUGAACGCUGGCGGCGUGCCUAAUACAUGCAAGUCGAACGAAACUUCUUUAUCACCGAGUGCUUGCACUCACCGAUAAAGAGUUGAGUGGCGAACGGGUGAGUAACACGUGGGCAACCUGCCCAAAAGAGGGGGAUAACACUUGGAAACAGGUGCUAAUACCGCAUAACCAUAGUUACCGCAUGGUAACUAUGUAAAAGGUGGCUAUACUACCGCUUUUGGAUGGGCCCGCGGCGCAUUAGCUAGUUGGUAGGGUAAAGGCUUACCAAGGCAAUGAUGCGUAGCCGAAUUGAGAGGUUGAUCGGCCACAUUGGGACUGAGACACGGCCCAAACUCCUAUGGGAGGCAGCAGUAGGGAAUCUUCCACAAUGGGCGAAAGCCUGAUGGAGCAACGCCGCGUGGGUGAAGAAGGUCUUCGGAUCGUAAAACCCUGUUGUUAGAGAAGAAAGUGCGUGAGAGUAACUGUUCACGUUUCGACGGUAUCUAACCGGAAAGCCACGGCUAACUACGUG